UAACUCCAUGCUGCUGAAAAGGCAGCUAGACAACGUCCAGGCCACCUACAACAAAGACUACCACUAUGCUGUGGGAUAUGACAGCCCAAUGAACAUUCUGAAUAGGCACAACGAGGUGUGGCACAUGGUUGAGGGAGAGCCUGUGUGCCCUACCUCCUCCUAAACAUCCUCCUCCAUUACUGCUGAGUCUGGCAUAACCACUUUGAGGAGGACCAAUGGGAGGUGCAUGGUAAACUGAGAACAUCUGAGAAAAUGUGGUUUGGGGGCAACAAAGAUAUUAACUAAGACAUGUGUCUCUGAUCUGGUGGCACUAUAAUCCAAAAUCAAUA
Oncorhynchus tshawytscha (Chinook salmon) is the source of this 329-nucleotide long non-coding RNA. RefSeq lists it as uncharacterized. NCBI's taxonomy places the organism in Eukaryota, Metazoa, Chordata, Actinopteri, Salmoniformes, Salmonidae. The record is from RefSeq and is a predicted model, not a curated record. The transcript has 2 exons.